This 162-nucleotide ribosomal RNA is filed under the name Macaranga praestans. RNAcentral's name for it is "5.8S ribosomal RNA". It matches the Rfam family "5.8S ribosomal RNA". Rfam says of the family: 5.8S ribosomal RNA (5.8S rRNA) is a component of the large subunit of the eukaryotic ribosome. Lineage: Eukaryota; Viridiplantae; Streptophyta; Magnoliopsida; Malpighiales; Euphorbiaceae. RNAcentral also lists the same sequence under 3 other names. The record is from RNAcentral.
AACGACUCUCGGCAACGGAUAUCUCGGCUCUCGCAUCGAUGAAGAACGCAGCAAAAUGCGAUACUUGGUGUGAAUUGCAGAAUCCCGUGAAUCAUCGAGUUUUUGAACGCAAGUUGCGCCCGAAGCCUUCGGGCCAAGGGCACGUCUGCCUGGGUGUCACGC